This 57-nucleotide transfer RNA is filed under the name Sphingomonas sp. WG. It matches the Rfam family "tRNA", at positions 1 to 54 of the family's 71-position model. From Rfam's summary of the family: Transfer RNA (tRNA) molecules are approximately 80 nucleotides in length. The record is from Rfam by way of RNAcentral. Lineage: Bacteria; Pseudomonadati; Pseudomonadota; Alphaproteobacteria; Sphingomonadales; Sphingomonadaceae.
GCGGGUGUAGCUCAGUUGGUUAGAGCGCCGGCCUGUCACGCCGGAGGUCGCGGGUUC